CACCGCCCGUCACACCACGAAAGUCGUUUGCACCAGAAGUCGCUAAGCUAAUUCAUUUCGGUGAAAGGCAGGCGCCCAAGGUGUGGACGGUGAUUGGGGUG
RNAcentral lists this ribosomal RNA (101 nucleotides) under uncultured bacterium. RNAcentral's name for it is "partial 16S ribosomal RNA". It matches the Rfam family "Bacterial small subunit ribosomal RNA", at positions 1388 to 1482 of the family's 1533-position model. The record is from RNAcentral.